RNAcentral lists this ribosomal RNA (526 nucleotides) under Hourangia nigropunctata. RNAcentral's name for it is "partial large subunit ribosomal RNA". It matches the Rfam family "Eukaryotic large subunit ribosomal RNA", at positions 83 to 603 of the family's 3401-position model. The record is from RNAcentral. Lineage: Eukaryota; Fungi; Basidiomycota; Agaricomycetes; Boletales; Boletaceae.
GUAACUGCGAGUGAAGAGGGAAAAGCUCAAAUUUUGAAUCUGGCGGUCGUGAUGGCCGUCCGAGUUGUAAUCUAGAGAAGCGUCUUCUAGCGCUGAGCCGUGUACAAGUCUCCUGGAAGGGAGCGUCAUAGAGGGUGAGAAUCCCGUCUUUGACACGGAGAAUCAGUGCGAUGUGAUGCGCUCUCGACGAGUCGAGUUGUUUGGGAAUGCAGCUCAAAUAGGGUGGUAAAUUCCAUCUAAAGCUAAAUACUGGCGAGAGACCGAUAGCGAACAAGUACCGUGAGGGAAAGAUGAAAAGAACUUUGGAAAGAGAGUUAAACAGUACGUGAAAUUGCUGAAAGGGAAACGCUCGAGGUCAGUCGCGUCUGCCAGGGAUCAACCUUGCUUCUUCGCUCGGUGCAUUUCUUGGUCGGACGGGUCAGCAUCAGUUUCGAUCGUCGUAGAACGGUCGAGGGAACGUGGCACCUCUCGAGGUGUGUUAUAGCCCUCGAUCUUAUGCGUCGGAAGGGACUGAGGAACUCGACAC